RNAcentral lists this long non-coding RNA (1202 nucleotides) under Astyanax mexicanus (Mexican tetra). Its description in RNAcentral is "lncRNA (ENSAMXG00005013094.1)". Lineage: Eukaryota; Metazoa; Chordata; Actinopteri; Characiformes; Acestrorhamphidae. The record is from RNAcentral.
GUAGGUGAGCUCUGCGGUACAGUUAAAAAGCUCCGUGCGACAGUAGGUGAGCUCCGCGGUACACUUAAAAAGCUCUGUGCGACAGUAGGUGAGCUCCGCGGUACACUUAAAAAGCUCUGUGCGACAGUAGGUGAGCUCCGCUGUACAGUUAAAAAGCUCUGUGCGACAGUAGGUGAGCUCCGCGGUACAGUUAAAAAGCUACGCGCGACAGUAGGUGAGCUCCGAGGUACAGUUAAAAAGCUCCGCGCGACAGUAUGUGAGCUCCGAGGUACAGUUAAAAAGCUCCGCGCGACAGUAGGUGAGCUCAGCGGUACAGUUAAAAAGCUCCGCGCGACAGUAGGUGAGCUCCGAGGUACAGUUAAAAAGCUCCGCACCACAGUAGGUGAGCUCCGCUGUACAGUUAAAAAGCUCUGUGCGACAGUAGGUGAGCUCCGCGGUACAGUUAAAAAGCUCUGCGCGACAGUAGGUGAGCUCCGCAGUACAGUUAAAAAGCUCCGCGCGACAGAAGGUGAGCUCCGCGGUACAGUUAUAAAGCUCCAUGCGACAGCAGGUGAGCUCCGAGGUACAGUUAAAAAGCUCCGCGCGACAGUACGUGAGCUCCGCGGUACAGUUAAAAAGCUCCGUGCGACAGUACGUGAGCUCCGCAGUACAGUUAAAAAGCUCCACGCGACAGCACGUGAGCUCCGCGGUACAGUUAAAAAGCUCCGCGCAACAGUAUGUGAGCUCCGCGGUACAGUUAAAAAGCUCCGCGCGACAGUACGUGAGCUCCGCGGUACAGUUAAAAAGCUCCACGCGACAGUAGGUGAGCUCCGCGGUACAGUUAAAAAACUCUGUGCGGCAGUAGGUAAACUCCGCGGUACAGUUAAAAAGCUCCAUGCGACAGUAGGUGAGGUCUGCGGUACAGUUAAAAAGCUCCGCGCGACAGUAGGUGAGCUCCGCGGUACAGUUAAAAAGCUCUGUGCGACAGUAGGUGAGCUCCGCGGUACAGUUAAAAAGCUCCGCGCGACAGUAUGUGAGCUCCGCGGUACAGUUAAAAAGCUCCACGCGACAGUAUGUGAGCUCCGCGGUACAGUUAAAAAGCUCCGCGCGACAGUAUGUGAGCUCCGCGGUACAGUUAAAAAGCUCCGCGCGACAGUAUGUGAGCUCCGCGGUACAGUUAAAAAGCUCCGCGCGACAGUNNNNNNNNNNNNNNNNNNNNNNNN